CGAACGGGUGAGUAAUGCGUGACCAACCUGCCCCAUGCUCCAGAAUAGCUCUUGGAAACGGGUGGUAAUGCUGGAUGCUCCAACUUGACGCAUGUCUUGUUGGGAAAGUGUUUAGUGGCAUGGGAUGGGGUCGCGUCCUAUCAGCUUGUAGGCGGGGGUAAUGGCCCACCUAGGCUUCGACGGGUAGCCGGCCUGAGAGGGCGGACGGCCACAUUGGGACUGAGAUACGGCCCAGACUCCUACGGGAGGCAGCAGCC
This 257-nucleotide ribosomal RNA is filed under the name uncultured Gardnerella sp. RNAcentral's name for it is "partial 16S ribosomal RNA". It matches the Rfam family "Bacterial small subunit ribosomal RNA", at positions 99 to 355 of the family's 1533-position model. Lineage: Bacteria; Bacillati; Actinomycetota; Actinomycetes; Bifidobacteriales; Bifidobacteriaceae. The record is from RNAcentral.